This 459-nucleotide ribosomal RNA is filed under the name uncultured bacterium. RNAcentral's name for it is "partial 16S ribosomal RNA". It matches the Rfam family "Bacterial small subunit ribosomal RNA", at positions 338 to 795 of the family's 1533-position model. The record is from RNAcentral.
CCUACGGGUGGCAGCAGUGAGGAAUAUUGGUCAAUGGGCGCGAGCCUGAACCAGCCAAGUCGCGUGAGGGAAGACGGUCCUAUGGAUUGUAAACCUCUUUUGUCGGGGAGCAAAAGACGCCACGCGUGGCGUUCCGAGAGUACCCGAAGAAAAAGCAUCGGCUAACUCCGUGCCAGCAGCCGCGGUAAUACGGAGGAUGCGAGCGUUAUCCGGAUUUAUGGGGUUUAAAGGGUGCGCAGGCGGAAGAGCAAGUCAGCGGUAAAAUUGAGGGGCUCAACCUCUUCGAGCCGUUGAAACUGGUUUUCUUGAGUGAGCGAGAAGUAGGCGGAAUGCGUGGUGUAGCAGUGAAAUGCAUAGAUAUCACGCAGAACUCCGAUUGCGAAGGCAGCAUACCGGCGCUCAACUGACGCUCAUGCACGAAAGUGUGGGUAUCGAACAGGAUUAGAUACCCGGGUAGUC